GUUUUCUUGGAAUUCUAGAUAGAAUUAAAGCACAGCUUUCCUAAUCGGGCUGUCAUGUUUUUUCUUUCCUUAGGCGUAUCUGGACAUCAGCUUCGCUUUCGAUCCGGAGAUAGUGCUCCCAGUGGUCAUUAUUCCUCCAGUCCUCGCUGACGGUGUUGCUAGGGGCCUCUAUCCAGCCGGAGCUGCUGGGGGCCCAAGCAACACAGACUUCCCCCCGCCUGCGGUGUCCAUGGGUCCUUGUCCGCCGAGGGAUAUUGGGGGCCCAGUCAACAGAGGCUUCCCUGCUCCUGCUGUGUUUAUGGGUCCUUAUCCUGCAUCCCCACACUCGGGCAGCUACGGAUACCCAGGGGCCCAACAGUAUGCAGCACCACCACCCGCGUACCCAUAUAACCCGUCUGUGAAUGCUGGUCCACCAGGUGUGUACCCUGUGCAGUCUUCACACGUGAAUGGGGGAUACCCUAACCCAGUGCCACAAUUGGCUCCUUAUGGAUCGCCAUUUCCGUCCUCAUCGUCGCCUUCUCUGCUUCACCCUCCGCCUGCUGCCCCAACAUUUCAUCCACCCUCAUCAUCACCUACUGCUCCACCCAUGAGCAUAUCCCCAACUGCUCCUUCAUACAACCCGCCGUCUUCUGCAGCAAUGAUGAACACAGACUUUCUGUCUCAAUCGGAUGAAGCUCCUCCAGCAUAUUCUCUCCUUUUCCCGUCUUCCGCUACUGAGAAGUCUGAUGCCAAAUAAUAGAAACUAUGCUUAAUGACUGAACCAGUUUAUUUUUGAUGUGACGUACUAAUUUAUAUAUAAAUGUGUAAUCUGAUCACCUAGAUUGUGUCUUUAACCCGUAUCUCGCGAAUUUAAACAAAAAUGUCACUGUGCCGUGUGGACUGUUUGCAUGUAAACAAUCAUAUGGGCAAAAGGGAUUUGUGGAUCGUAUCCAAAUGUUGUAUCCUUCUCAGUUACGGUCACUAAUUGGCUUCGUCCAGCUGCUCAAACCUCAUCCGUCCGGAUACGCUGUGUAUGCACACGUGCCUUGCUCAACACAAGAAUCCUCAACAGACAUUUUUUCGAUGGUAUAUAGAAUAUACAGAUUUUCUCAAUCUGCAGUGUGGAGGCUAGUUGAAAGAAACUGGACAACAAGGACUAUAUUAAAAAAUAUUGUCAUAUGUUUACUGUAUAAAGUAAUCAAAUAAGAGGCUAAAUAAGCGAUUUUUAGAUAUAUUGCCCAGUCUGUGCAAUUUAACACCAGACAACUUCUUCGGUCUAUUUCAUCAACACAAUACUAAACAAACCAGGCUUUUUGUUAUACUUGCCAAACUGCUGUGUUUUCUCCGACUUAGAGAUGUAAAUAAAGAAUAGCAAGAGACGGUUA
Long non-coding RNA from Gasterosteus aculeatus aculeatus (three-spined stickleback), 1364 nucleotides. The record is from Ensembl. NCBI's taxonomy places the organism in Eukaryota, Metazoa, Chordata, Actinopteri, Perciformes, Gasterosteidae.